CCCUCUGCCCAAGCACUGCACCAGCCAAUAACUCAAUGGACUGAUGAGUCUUUGCUAACCCAGCAACUACAUCAGCCAUGCCCACAGCUUGCCUAGUUGCGGAGCGGGCUCCCCAUGGGCCUCUACACGGGGUCCUCCACCACGUCCACGACGACCACGUCCUCUCUGAAUAAAAGGUACAUGACCUCUCCAACCACGACCCCUAAGGCUUUGCGGUACAGUACUCUCAUCACUUGAUUCAGCAAGAG
RNAcentral lists this long non-coding RNA (248 nucleotides) under Lotus japonicus. RNAcentral's name for it is "long non-coding RNA (LJAP_LNC000345)". Lineage: Eukaryota; Viridiplantae; Streptophyta; Magnoliopsida; Fabales; Fabaceae. The record is from RNAcentral.